UACAGAGGGUGCAAGCGUUAAUCGGAAUUACUGGGCGUAAAGCGUGCGUAGACGGUUAUGUAAGUCGGGUGUGAAAGCCCCGGGCUCAACCUGGGAAUGCCAUUCGAGACUGCAUAGCUAGGGUGCGGAAGAGGGAAGCGGAAUUUCCGGUGUAGUGGUGAAAUGCGUAGAUAUCGGGAGGAACACCAGUGGCGAAGGCGGCUACCUGGCCCACUCUUGACGCUGAGGCGCGAAAGCUAGGGGAGCAAACGGG
Molecule: ribosomal RNA, 253 nt
Filed under: uncultured bacterium
Lineage: Bacteria
Description: partial 16S ribosomal RNA
Rfam family: Bacterial small subunit ribosomal RNA
Source: RNAcentral